Lutra lutra (Eurasian river otter) is the source of this 453-nucleotide long non-coding RNA. RefSeq lists it as uncharacterized. NCBI's taxonomy places the organism in Eukaryota, Metazoa, Chordata, Mammalia, Carnivora, Mustelidae. The record is from RefSeq and is a predicted model, not a curated record. The transcript is spliced from 3 exons.
UCCCCGCUGAGCAGAGAGCCCGAUGUAGGACUCGAUCCCAGGACCCUGAGAUCAUGACCUGAGCCGAAGGCAGCAGCUUAACCCACUGAGCCACCCAGGCGCCCUGUGUUCCUGAUCUUAAUGGGAAAGCUUCUAGUUUCUCACAGAAACAACUAUAAAGCCUGGUUAAAACAAAUGGAGCAGCUAUUUUAGAACUUCAAAGAGCCAAUAGCAGGCGGUGAUGUGGAGAACAGCACCAGAAUUCAAAGUACCACUGAAUUGAUUAGGAAAACACCUGUUGUGCAAUCACAUCUUUAAAAUCCUCAUUAUUGUGAAGACAUUAAGUGGAAGAGAACGCAAAGUCAAACCUCCCUUCAACCACUUGUUAAACGAACUGAUGUCUUUGCUAUUUUCUGUGGGAACGAUUGCCUCCUGCUUCCUCCUCUGUAAAAAUCUGCACAUGCUCCAUGUCUU